Molecule: long non-coding RNA, 267 nt
Organism: Alosa sapidissima (American shad)
Lineage: Eukaryota; Metazoa; Chordata; Actinopteri; Clupeiformes; Clupeidae
Exons: 3
Source: RefSeq, a predicted model, not a curated record
GUUUGGUUUGUUGAGAGCUCACAUUCUCUUGCUGCUGCCACCACUUGCUCUUUGUGACUGUUAAGGUCCCCUGUCAUGCAGGGUGAAUGCUAGAACCAUGUGUUUCACUCUUCAUGGAGGACAAUGAGGUGACUGCCUGAUUUUAAGAUUUAUGAGUGCUGGGCUACAGACACUGAUGCUCUGCACUGGAAUGUUCCUUUCUUCCUGUGUCACUGUGCUGUGGAGAGUAGUGAACGCUCUUGCAAAGUAGGCUUACAUUUACUACAU